AACGAACGCUGGCGGCAUGCCUAACACAUGCAAGUCGAACGAGACCUUCGGGUCUAGUGGCGCACGGGUGCGUAACGCGUGGGAACCUGCCCUUAGGUUCGGAAUAACUCCCCGAAAGGGGUGCUAAUACCGGAUAAUGUCUUCGGACCAAAGAUUUAUCGCCUUUGGAUGGGCCCGCGUUGGAUUAGCUAGUUGGUAGGGUAAAAGCCUACCAAGGCGACGAUCCAUAGCUGGUCUGAGAGGAUGAUCAGCCACACUGGGACUGAGACACGGCCCAGACUCCUACGGGAGGCAGCAGUGGGGAAUAUUGGACAAUGGGCGAAAGCCUGAUCCAGCAAUGCCGCGUGAGUGAUGAAGGCCUUAGGGUUGUAAAGCUCUUUUACCCGGGAUGUUAAUGACAGUACCGGGAGAAUAAGCGCCGGCUAACUCCGUG
This 433-nucleotide ribosomal RNA is filed under the name uncultured bacterium. RNAcentral's name for it is "partial 16S ribosomal RNA". It matches the Rfam family "Bacterial small subunit ribosomal RNA", at positions 29 to 507 of the family's 1533-position model. The record is from RNAcentral.